GGGCCCGUGGCCUAGCCCGGUCAUGGCGCCCGGCUGAUAAUCGGGCCUGCCCAAAGUCCCGGGUUCGAAGCCCGGCGGGCCCACCA
Molecule: transfer RNA, 86 nt
Filed under: Thermoprotei archaeon
Lineage: Archaea; Thermoproteati; Thermoproteota; Thermoprotei
Description: tRNA-Ile
Rfam family: tRNA
About the family: Transfer RNA (tRNA) molecules are approximately 80 nucleotides in length.
Source: RNAcentral